Molecule: ribosomal RNA, 440 nt
Filed under: uncultured bacterium
Lineage: Bacteria
Description: partial 16S ribosomal RNA
Rfam family: Bacterial small subunit ribosomal RNA
Source: RNAcentral
CCUACGGGUGGCAGCAGUAGGGAAUAUUGCUCAAUGGGGGAAACCCUGAAGCAGCAACGCCGCGUGGAGGAUGAAGGCUUUCGGAUUGUAAACUCCUUUUGUUAGAGAAGCAAAUGACGGUAUCUAACGAAUAAGCACAGGCUAACUACGUGCCAGCAGCCGCGGGAAUACGGAGGGAGCAAGCGUUACACGGAAUCACUGGGCGUAAAGAGCGCGUAGGCGGGAUAGCAAGUCAGAUGUGAAAUCCUAGGGUUUAAACAUAGAACUGCAUUUGAAACUGUUAUUCUAGAGUAUGGGAGAGGUAGGUGGAAUUCUUGGUGUAGGGGUAAAAUCCGUAGAGAUCAAGAGGAAUACUCAUUGCGAAGGCGGCCUGCUAGAACAUAACUGACGCUGAUGCGCGAAAGCGUGGGGAGCGAACAGGAUUAGAUACCCCUGUAGUC